Molecule: small RNA, 177 nt
Filed under: uncultured Alloprevotella sp.
Lineage: Bacteria; Pseudomonadati; Bacteroidota; Bacteroidia; Bacteroidales; Prevotellaceae
Description: Bacteroidales-1 6S-Bacteroidales RNA suggested
Rfam family: Bacteroidales-1 6S-Bacteroidales RNA suggested
Source: RNAcentral
AGCCGUACCGGUUAGAUUGGGAUUCUCAUCAAUUACAACUUACACCGAGAAUGCUUAUCCCGCUGAUGGCGUGCCGAUAUGCGUAGCUAGCUGCGUAGGGUCGGAUUACAAAGGCAGGAAGGGCGCUCAAAUCUUAUUUUACUCGGAGUAUCAUCACAUCAUCGGUACGGCCUUUUU